Molecule: ribosomal RNA, 761 nt
Filed under: Bacillus sp. LBC
Lineage: Bacteria; Bacillati; Bacillota; Bacilli; Caryophanales; Bacillaceae
Description: bacterial SSU rRNA
Rfam family: Bacterial small subunit ribosomal RNA
Source: RNAcentral
CUCUCAGACGAACGCUGGCGGCGUGCUUUUAUACAUGCAAGUCGAGCGGACAGAUGGGAGCUUGCUCCCUGAUGUUAGCGGCGGACGGGUGAGUAACACGUGGGUAACCCGCCUGUAAGGACUGGGAUAACUCCGGGAAACCGGGGCUAAUACCGGAUGGUUGUUGAACCGCAUGGUUCAAACAUAAAAGGUGGCUUCGGCUACCACUUAAAGAUGGACCCCCGGCGCAUUAGCUAGUUGGUGAAGUAACGGCUCACCAAGGCAACCGAUGCGUAGCCGACCUGAGAGGGGUGAUUGGCCACACUGGGAAUGAGACACGGCCCAGACUCCUACGGGGAGGCAGGCGUAGGGAAUCUUUCCGCAAUGGACGAAAAGUCUGACGGAGCAACGCCGCGUGAGUGAUGAAGGUUUUCGGAUCGUAAAGCUCUGUUUGUUAGGGAAGAACAAGUACCCGUUCGAAUAGGGCGGUACCUUGACGGUACCUAACCAGAAAGCCACGGCUAACUACGUGCCAGCAGCCGCGGUAAUACGUAGGUGGCAAGCGUUGUCCGGAAUUAUUGGGCGUAAAGGGCUCGCAGGCGGUUUCUUAAGUCUGAUGUGAAAGCCCCCGGCUCAACCGGGGAGGGUCAUUGGAAACUGGGGAACUUGAGUGCAGAAGAGGAGAGUGGAAUUCCACGUGUAGCGGUGAAAUGCGUAGAGAUGUGGAGGAACACCAGUGGCGAAGGCGACUCUCUGGUCUGUAAACUGACCGCUGAGGAGCG